Molecule: long non-coding RNA, 1486 nt
Organism: Apis dorsata (giant honeybee)
Lineage: Eukaryota; Metazoa; Arthropoda; Insecta; Hymenoptera; Apidae
Exons: 2
Source: RefSeq, a predicted model, not a curated record
AAUCAGAUUUUGCGCAUGCGUCAAAAGUCCUGAGGGAUCCUUAACACAAACUGAGAAGAACAAGCGAGUCAAGUCAGUUGCUGGCUGAGUAUCUUUGUUGCGGUGAACAUAAUUCGUCGGUCGUGACCGAUACUUCUCUUGCGUACUUUCUUCUGUCUGUUUUUAGUGUAUUUUUACGACAAAAGUACAUCGUCGAAUUAAUUUUUUACGAUUCUUUUAUACUUCUAACUACGAUUUUUCUAUUCAUAAAAUACCGAAUAAGACUGAUCAUUCGCAUAUUUACAGAAUAAUUAGCGGUUAUUACAUCGUAUUCUAAUAAUUUAAAAAAAAAUUAAUAUUUUUCAUUGUUUUUUUGAUCAUAGAAUAAUUGAAUAUUUGUUGAAUUAUAUUUUCUUUAAUUUAAUAUAUUACUUGAGAUAUUUAUUUUUCAAUAUUUGAUACUUAAUUGAUCGGUAAUUUUAUAUAAGAACAUUAUAUUUAUUAAUAAAACUUUUCUAAUUUUUUUAAUUAUCAAGCAAUAUAAUAAUUACCUAUAACACUCUUUUAUAAUAUUGUAAAUAUGUUUACAAUUUGACAUUUUAUAAUUUUUCAUCUUACUUUACUUAAAUCUUAUAAUUGAUAAUUUUAUUUAAUUAAUAAUGGAAAUAUUUUGUUAAUAAUUUAUUUUAUAAGAAUAAAAUAAAAUAAAAAAUAACAAAAAACUUAACCGAUCGUUUAAGUGUUAAAAAAAUUCUACUUUCUAGUCUUUGUAUGAAUGUAUUAAUAUCAACACCAAUUAAUAUUGAAUUGUUGUAAAGCAAUUAAUACACUAGACAGCAUAUUUCGAAAUUUGUUAAUAAGUAAUAUACAUAGUAUUUUAGUUAAUAAAAAUAAUCAUUGCACAUGAUAAGUAUAUUUUUUUUUAUAUUAUUCAAUUAUACACUAUUAUAGAAUAAACAUGUCAUGCACAAAUAUAUCAUAUCAUUAUAAACUUGCUAUCUAGUGUAUAUCUUCAAAAAAAUCGAUGCAAUAAUCGAAUUAAUCUGUAUAAUUUGAGAUCACGCUUUUUCUACAUAAGAAAUUCACAUUCCGUGAGCUGUGCAAUGGUCGAAACAUUUUUACAGCUAUUUCUAUGAAAGAAUUUUACGUCACAACCCGCUUAGAAAAUAUUAAAAUGGUAAAUUUUAUAUAUGGAUUAGUACUAAUUUUGUGGGCGUGUAAUUUAUCGAUUAGCUUAUAAGUAACAUUUUUCUUUUUUUGUCGAAUUUCAAUAUUUUUCGAAUAUAUUGAUAUUUUGAUUCGACAAAAAGAGAAUAAUUAUUUUUCGAUAUGCUUUUAUCUUUUAUAUGAUACUUUUUUUUAUCUGCUCUCUAUUUUUCAUAUACAAACAAGAUUAAUAUUAAGGUCGUUACUUCGGCAAAACUAUCUGUAGUUUAUGUUAUUUAUCAUAUUGAGGAAAGCGGGAUAAUCUAAAUGCAUUAUGUAAGCAAUAAAUUCUGCUAUUAAA